This 497-nucleotide ribosomal RNA is filed under the name uncultured bacterium. RNAcentral describes it as "partial 16S ribosomal RNA". It matches the Rfam family "Bacterial small subunit ribosomal RNA", at positions 28 to 507 of the family's 1533-position model. The record is from RNAcentral.
GAUGAACGCUGGCGGCGUGCCUAAUACAUGCAAGUCGAGCGAACAGACGAGGAGCUUGCUCCUCUGUCGUUAGCGGCGGACGGGUGAGUAACACGUGGAUAACCUACCUAUAAGACUGGGAUAACUUCGAGAAACCGGCGCUAAUACCGGAUAAUAUAUUGAACCGCAUGGUUCAAUAUUGAAAGACGGUUUUGCUUUCACUUAUAGAUGGAUCCGCGCCGACUUAGCUAGUUGGUAGGGUAACGGCUUACCAAGGGAACGAUGCGUUGACGACCGGAUAGGGGGGUCGGCCACACUGGAACUGAGACGCGGACCAGAGUCCUACGGGAGGCAGCAGUAGGGAAUCUGACGCAAUGGGCGAAAGCUUGACGGAGCAACGCCGCGUGAGUGAUGAAGGUCUUCGGAGCGUAAAACUCUGUUAUUAGGGAAGAACAAAUGUGUAAGUAACUAUGCACGUCUUGACGGUACCUAAUCAGAAAGCCACGGCUAACUACGUG